RNAcentral lists this ribosomal RNA (478 nucleotides) under uncultured bacterium. RNAcentral's name for it is "partial 16S ribosomal RNA". It matches the Rfam family "Bacterial small subunit ribosomal RNA", at positions 28 to 507 of the family's 1533-position model. The record is from RNAcentral.
GAUGAACGCUAGCGGCAGGCCUAACACAUGCAAGUCGAGGGAGAAGCCCUUUCGGGGGCAGAAACCGGCGCACGGGUGCGUAACGCGUAUGCAACCUACCUUUCACAGGGGGAUAGCCCGAAGAAAUUUGGAUUAAUACCCCAUAAUAUUAUUGGAUGGCAUCAUUUGAUAAUUAAAACUGCGGUGGUGAAAGAUGGGCAUGCGUCCUAUUAGCUAGUUGGAGUGGUAACGGCACCCCAAGGCUACGAUAGGUAGGGGUCCUGAGAGGGAGAUCCCCCACACUGGUACUGAGACAGGGACCAGACUCCUACGGGAGGAAGCAGUGAGGAAUAUUGGUCAAUGGUCGGAAGACUGAACCAGCCAUGCCGCGUGCAGGAAGAAUGCCUUAUGGGUUGUAAACUGCUUUUAUAUGGGAAGAAUAAGGUGUACGUGUACAUUGAUGACGGUACCAUAUGAAUAAGCAUCGGCUAACUCCGUG